RNAcentral lists this unclassified non-coding RNA (310 nucleotides) under plant metagenome. Its description in RNAcentral is "partial contains 5.8S ribosomal RNA, internal transcribed spacer 2, and large subunit ribosomal RNA". The stretch from base 1 to 105 matches the Rfam family "5.8S ribosomal RNA", at positions 50 to 154 of the family's 154-position model. The record is from RNAcentral.
GAAAUGCGAUAAGUAGUGUGAAUUGCAGAAUUCAGUGAAUCAUCGAAUCUUUGAACGCACAUUGCGCCCCUCGGUAUUCCGUGGGGCAUGCCUGUUCGAGCGUCAUCUACACCCUCAAGCUCUGCUUGGUGUUGGGCGUCUGUCCCGCCUCCUUCGCGCGCGGACUCGCCCCAAAUCCAUUGGCGGCGGCCCUUGCCUCCCUCUCGCGCAGCACAUUGCGCUUCUCGAGGCGCGGCGGACCGCGUCCAGCAAGCAACCGUCACACCGUCUUUGACCUCGGAUCAGGUAGGGAUACCCGCUGAACUUAAGU